This 657-nucleotide ribosomal RNA is filed under the name uncultured Alphaproteobacteria bacterium. RNAcentral's name for it is "bacterial SSU rRNA". It matches the Rfam family "Bacterial small subunit ribosomal RNA", at positions 138 to 828 of the family's 1533-position model. The record is from RNAcentral. Lineage: Bacteria; Pseudomonadati; Pseudomonadota; Alphaproteobacteria.
CUGGAAUAACACGAGGAAACUUGUGCUAAUACUGGAUAAGUCUUUACGGAGAAAGCUUUAUGCACCAUUGGAUGAGCCCGCACUUGAUUAGUUUGUUGGUGGGGUAAUGGCCUACCAAGACUGUGAUCAAUAGCUGAUUUGAGAGGAUGAUCAGCCACAUUGGGACUGAGACACGGCCCAAACUCCUACGGGAGGCAGCAGUGGGGAAUCUUGCACAAUGGAGGAAACUCUGAUGCAGCGAUGCCGCGUGAGUGAAGAAGGCCUUUGGGUUGUAAAGCUCUUUCGUCGGGGAAGAAAAUGACUGUACCCGAAUAAGAAGGUCCGGCUAACUUCGUGCCAGCAGCCGCGGUAAAACGAAGGGACCUAGCGUAGUUCGGAAUUACUGGGCUUAAAGAGUUCGUAGGUUGUUGAAAAAGUUGGUGGUGAAAUCCCAGAGCUUAACUCUGGAACUGCCAUCACAACUUUUCAGCUAGAGUGUGAUAGAGGAAAGCAGAAUCUCUAGUGUAGAGGUGAACUGCGUAGAUCUGAGAAAGAAUACCAAUUGAGAAGGGCAGCUUUCUGGAUCAUUACUGACACUGACGAACGCACGCUGGGUAGCGACGAGGAUUCGAUACCCUCGUCGUCCAUGCCGCAAACGAUGUGUGUACGACGGUGGCA